AGGAUGAACGCUAGCGGCAGGCUUAAUACAUGCAAGUCGAGGGGCAGCAGGGUGUAGCAAUACAUCGCUGGCGACCGGCAAACGGGUGAGGAACACGUGCGCAACCUCCCUUCAAGUGAGGAAUAGCCCAGGGAAACUUGGAUUAAUACCUCGUAACAUUAUGAGAUGGCAUCAUUUUAUAAUUAAGUUCCGACGCUUGAAGAUGGGCGUGCGUCUGAUUAGGUAGUUGGCGGAGUAACAGCCCACAAGCCUGCGAUCAGUAACUGGUGUGAGAGCACGACCAGUCACACGGGCACUGAGACCACGGGCCCAUCCGUAGGGAGCAGCAGUAAGGAAUAUUGGCAAUGGACGCAAGUCUAGAACCAGCCAUGCCGACGUGGAAGGAUGAAGUCCUCGUGGAUUUGUUAAACUUUCGUUUUUAAGUUUACGGGAAA
This 434-nucleotide ribosomal RNA is filed under the name uncultured soil bacterium. RNAcentral's name for it is "bacterial SSU rRNA". It matches the Rfam family "Bacterial small subunit ribosomal RNA", at positions 26 to 453 of the family's 1533-position model. The record is from RNAcentral.